RNAcentral lists this long non-coding RNA (503 nucleotides) under Bos taurus (domestic cattle). RNAcentral describes it as "long non-coding RNA NONBTAT009748". Lineage: Eukaryota; Metazoa; Chordata; Mammalia; Artiodactyla; Bovidae. The record is from RNAcentral.
UGAAAACAACAGUAGGUAUUUUAAUCUUCAACUAUCAAUUUUUGAGGAGAGAAGUGAGGGACAAAGAAGAGAGAAUAUAAUCUAGUUUAGGACUUAUUUGUGACCUUCAGAAAGUGACUCAUUCCCAUGACUUUAAUUUUACACUAUUAUAAACUGGGGAUGUCUACUACAUAUGUAUUAAUAGUUUUGUGUUCAGUAGAUGACAAUGUUUUAUUUUUAUUGAGCACCUUGUCCAAUAUGUUGUGUAAAUUAUAUAAGAACAUACUUUGCUCCCUAGGAAUUCCUCUAUGAACACAGGAAUAUAAGGAACAAAUCAGUAUCCUUUAUUGCUUUUAAACCCAGGUAGCUUGGAGACUAGUCAUAUCUCAUCAUGUCUGAGUUUUGCCCUUGGCUUCUCACACAUCGUGGACCCCUCCUAACAGCCCUAUUUCGGGUUUAUUUGAGUAGCUAGACUCCCGGAAGGGCGCAGGUCACGCGUCAGGAGGCUGCCGGGGUAGCACCCC